CAGGCUUAACACAUGCAAGUCGAGGGGCAGCACGAUGUAGCAAUACAUUGGUGGCGACCGGCGCACGGGUGAGUAACGCGUAUCCAACCUGGCUUCCACUCGGGUAUAGCCUUCCGAAAGGGAGAUUAACCCCCGAUGGUACCUUUUUGCCUCCUGGCAUUGAGGUUAAAGUUUUACGGUGGAAGAUGGGGAUGCGUUCCAUUAGGCAGUAGGCGGGGUAACGGCCCACCUAGCCGACGAUGGAUAGGGGUUCUGAGAGGAAGGUCCCCCACAUUGGAACUGAGACACGGUCCAAACUCCUACGGGAGGCAGCAGUGAGGAAUAUUGGUCAAUGGACGAGAGUCUGAACCAGCCAAGUAGCGUGAAGGAUGACUGCCCUAUGGGUUGUAAACUUCUUUUUCAGGGGAAUAAUAAUCGUCACGUGUGGCGUAUUGCAUGUACCCUGUGAAUAAGCAUCGGCUAAUUCCGUGCCAGCAGCCGCGGUAAUACGGAAGAUGCGAGCGUUAUCCGGAUUUAUUGGGUUUAAAGGGAGCGUAGGCGGGAGGUUAAGUCAGCUGUGAAACCCUGUGGCUCAACCAUAGGCGUGCAGUUGAUACUGUCCUUCUUGAGUGCGGCAGAGGCAGGCGGAAUUCGUGGUGUAGCGGUGAAAUGCUUAGAUAUCACGAAGAACUCCGAUUGCGAAGGCAGCCUGCUGGACCGUAACUGACGCUGAUGCUCGAAAGUGCGGGUAUCAAACAGGAUUAGAUACCCUGGUAGUCCGCACAGUAAACGAUGGACACUCGCCGUUGGCGAUAUACGGUCAGCGGCUUAGCGAAAGCGUUAAGUGUCCCACCUGGGGAGUACGCCGGCAACGGUGAAACUCAAAGGAAUUGACGGGGGCCCGCACAAGCGGAGGAACAUGUGGUUUAAUUCGAUGAUACGCGAGGAACCUUACCCGGGCUUGAAUUGCAGUGGAAUAUACCGGAAACGGUAUAGCGGCUUGCCGCCACUGUGAAGGUGCUGCAUGGUUGUCGUCAGCUCGUGCCGUGAGGUGUCGGCUCAAGUGCCAUAACGAGCGCAACCCUCAUUUCCAGUUGCCAUCGGGUCAUGCCGGGCACUCUGGAGAGACUGCCGUCGUAAGAUGCGAGGAAGGGGGGGAUGACGUCAAAUCAGCACGGCCCUUACGUCCGGGGCUACACACGUGUUACAAUGGGGGGUACAGAAAGCAGCGUUACGGCGACGUAACGCGAAUCCUCAAAGCCCCUCUCAGUUCGGACUGGAGUCUGCAACCCGACUCCACGAAGCUGGAUUCGCUAGUAAUCGCGCAUCAGCCACGGCGCGGUGAAUACGUUCCCGGGCCUUGUACACACCGCCCGUCAAGCCAUGAAAGCCGGGGGUACCUGAAGUGCGUAACCGCGAGGGGCGCCCUAGGGUAAAACCGGUGAUUGGG
RNAcentral lists this ribosomal RNA (1429 nucleotides) under uncultured bacterium. RNAcentral describes it as "16S ribosomal RNA". It matches the Rfam family "Bacterial small subunit ribosomal RNA". The record is from RNAcentral.